AGUCACUUCACAUCUCUAUCAACAUGCUGCUCUCUAUCCUUUCUCUCCUAGCACUGCUUUUAGGAGACACAUCAGCACAGACAAUUGUGCCACUUGUAGGAGAAAUGCAUGUUUCAGAGGGUGAUAAAGUUACUCUGUCCUGCAGCUACAGUACCAGCAGCAUUAAUGACCCUCUUCACUGGUAUCGUCAGUUUCCCAGAUCCAGACCAGAGUUUCUCCUUUACAUUUACCCACAAGGGGAUAUGAGCAAACCUCUUCCUCCUCGUAUGUCUGCUGAAGUUAAAGAGAAUAAACGUGUGAAUCUGGUGAUCUCCUCUGCUGCAGUAUCAGACUCUGCACUCUACUACUGUGCCCUGCAGCCCACAGUGACAGGAAACCCAGCUACACUGUACAAAAACCUCCCACUACAGAGACUGAAUACAAACCUCUACGCAGAAUAAAGUGUCAUAAUUACAUAGAAUGUAGAAUGAUUUGAAGGAUGCCACAGUGUACAAAGAAUAUAAACAAAUAAACAAAAAUAUUUAACUUUAAAUUACUAAAGGGGACUCUUCAUGAAGCCGCUUGUGAGAAUGACAAGAUUGUGUGCAGCUGCAUCAAGGCACAGGGACUGAAUUUUAAAAUAAUCUAAAGGAUAUCUAUGUAGGAUAUUUAAAAGUUUGUUUAACACCUUUUGGUCUCUGCCUAAUAACGUUAUUUCUUUUUUUGUCUUUACUGUUAUUCUAAAAUGAGUAAAAUUUUGACUGAUAAAUGGUAUAAACCACUGAUAAAUGGUAUAAACCAAUUGUAUAAACCAUUGUUAUAAAUUGCUUUAGACAUUGAUUCUACUAUUAUGUAAAUUCACAAGUUUUGAAUAAUUAGUAGGAAGAAAACAAGAUAAUCUAGUAAGACAUCUGUUGC
Colossoma macropomum (tambaqui) is the source of this 897-nucleotide non-coding RNA. NCBI's taxonomy places the organism in Eukaryota, Metazoa, Chordata, Actinopteri, Characiformes, Serrasalmidae. The record is from the annotation of a RefSeq genome assembly.